Grus americana (Whooping crane) is the source of this 1458-nucleotide long non-coding RNA. RefSeq lists it as uncharacterized. The record is from RefSeq and is a predicted model, not a curated record. The transcript is spliced from 3 exons. Lineage: Eukaryota; Metazoa; Chordata; Aves; Gruiformes; Gruidae.
AGGGAUUAAAAACCAACAGGAAGGUGGGGGAACUUCGAGUCAAGAGGGAUGAAGAAAGAAGAGGAAGGUGGUGGACCUCUGAGUCAACAGGGAUGAAGAAAGAAGACGACGGAGGCGGACCUUCGAGUCAAGAGGGAUGAAGAAAGAAGAGGAAGGUAUUGGAACUUCGAGUCAAGAGGGAUGAAGAAAGAAGAGGAAGGUGGUGGAACUUCGAGUCAAGAGGGAUGAAGAAAGAAGACGACUGAGGUGGACCUUCGAGUCAAGAGGGAUCAAGACAGAAGAGGAAGGUGGUGGAACUUUGAGUCAAGAGUGUUGACGCCCUCCAUGUUUGGAAUACCAGGAAUUCUGCAUCCAAGCUGCACGUUUCCUGUUCAACACCGUAGGAGGUUCGGCACCUGAUUGGACAGAAAAGCAAGCGCACAAGAAGAUCCUGCGCCAGAACCCAGAUAAAAUUUCUUACUCUCCGCUUCAGAGACCUGCAGAACCGUUCCCGUCUUGCCUUUAAAAAGGCCUCUGCUUAUACCCUUCUCCCAGGGAGAACACAGAUCCCCCAAUAAAAUGCUGUAUUAAGCCAUAGGGUGUACACUGCAACUUCCAAGCCCACCUCUGCAUUAACUCACACCGACAAUAUUGCGCUGCACAUGCAAUUUUAACUUUGCGCUAGUUGUUGCAAUGUUUGGCUUUGGUGACGACAGUGUGUGUUUGUCAGCAGUUAGUGUAGGGUGGAAUCUUCAGGUGAAGUUUUUUGUGUUGGAGUUGGUUGGUGUUGGCGUAUUAUUGCGGAAGUUGCGGUGCAGGUGUUUGAUGUCAGAGUAUUAUUGCAGGAUGAGUGGCUUUGUGAAGGCUUGUCUAUGAGAUACAUAGUAGGGAGAGCAGUUUAGAGCGAAGGAUGAGAUGUGGAGAGUUUGUAGGUAGGUUUUGGAGAGUUGUCAGUUGAAGUGUUGGACAGGUACGAGUUAGGUGUAGGGUAAGGGCUGAAGUUGACUUUGCCUGUGCGGUGCAAUUGGAUUGGUGUGGAAAGCUAAUGGGAAGGGGGCUUUUGCAAGUGACACUACACCUCAAUAUCCCACUGGCAGCUCUAGAAAUUUUCCUGCUGCCUGGCUGGUCUGAGGAGCGUUGUGCGUGGCUAAUGGAGCGAUGCACGGCAAGGUUGGAUCUCCACACGUUCCAGAGAAAGUGUAGCAAGGGGGCAAAACCUCAUCUUGAGUGAUACUAUCUUGUCUAUGGAUGUUGAAUUGCCCUCUGUUCAGCAAGAUUGGUCUAAAUGUGCCACUUGGUCUUUUUCCCAAAUUUCCUUUUAGACUGUGUUCCACAUUGUCAAAAUAGAGCUUCCCCCCCCUUAAUUCUUAUCAUGUUAUUGUAAUUAGAAUGAAUAGAGAUAUUCCAGCUUGUCUCAGCUAAACUGGAAGAAGGGCAACAUCCAUGUUUAUUUUUUAAUAAAAAUAAAAUCAAAUCUGC